AUUGAACGCUGGCGGCAGGCCUAACACAUGCAAGUCGAACGAGUGGCGGACGGGUGAGUAAUGUCGGGGAAACUACCUGAUGGAGGGGGAAAAAUACUGGAAACGGUAGAUAAUAACGCAUACCAUCAUAUGGGCACAGAUGGGAUUAGCUAGUUGGUGGGGUACCGGCUCACCAAGGCGACGAUCCCUAGCUGGUCUGAGAGGAUGCCCAGCCACACUGGGACUGAGACACGGGCCAGACUCCUACGGGAGGCAGCAGUGGGGAAUAUUGCACAAUGGGCGCAAGCCUGAUGCAGCCAUGCCGCGUGUAUGAAGAAGGCCUUCGGGUUGUAAAGCACUUUCAGCGAGGAGGCGUUACUCGCAGAAGAAGCACCGGCUAACUCCGUGCCAGCAGCCGCGGUAAUUC
This 406-nucleotide ribosomal RNA is filed under the name uncultured bacterium. RNAcentral's name for it is "partial 16S ribosomal RNA". It matches the Rfam family "Bacterial small subunit ribosomal RNA", at positions 30 to 526 of the family's 1533-position model. The record is from RNAcentral.